GAACGCUAGCUACAGGCUUAACACAUGCAAGUCGAGGGGCAGCGGGAUUGAAGCUUGCUUCAAUUGCCGGCGACCGGCGCACGGGUGAGUAACGCGUAUCCAACCUUCCGUACACUCAAGGGGAUAGCCUUUCGAAAGAAAGAUUAAUACCUGAUGGUAUGAUGAGAUUGCAUGAUAGCAUCAUUAAAGAUUUAUCGGUGUACGAUGGGGAUGCGUUCCAUUAGGUAGUAGGCGGGGUAACGGCCCACCUAGCCAACGAUGGAUAGGGGUUCUGAGAGGAAGGUCCCCCACAUUGGAACUGAGACACGGUCCAAACUCCUACGGGAGGCAGCAGUGAGGAAUAUUGGUCAAUGGACGAGAGUCUGAACCAGCCAAGUAGCGUGCAGGAUGACGGCCCUAUGGGUUGUAAACUGCUUUUAUAAGGGAAUAAAGUGAGUCUCGUGAGACUUUUUGCAUGUACCUUAUGAAUAAGGACCGGCUAAUUCCGUG
RNAcentral lists this ribosomal RNA (489 nucleotides) under uncultured bacterium. RNAcentral's name for it is "bacterial SSU rRNA". It matches the Rfam family "Bacterial small subunit ribosomal RNA", at positions 31 to 507 of the family's 1533-position model. The record is from RNAcentral.